GAGGAAACACAAUCUGUUGGGCAGUUGAGGGAAGUAUCAAACAAGGCGCACAAUGCUGAACUAAAGCUGUUCUUGGAAGUAGAGUUAGGACCGGAUUUACGCCCUCUUCCUCCGCCAGAUAAGACAAAAGAAGAUAUAUUACUGUUUUUCAAGCUAUAUGACCCUGAUAAGGAAGAGCUAAGAUAUGUUGGGAGGCUCUUUGUAAAGGCAGUCGGGAGGCCAAUCGAAAUCUUGACAAGGCUGAAUGCAAUGGCUGGUUUUUCACCAAAUGAAGAAAUUGAACUUUUUGAGG
Molecule: unclassified non-coding RNA, 292 nt
Filed under: Hevea brasiliensis (rubber tree)
Lineage: Eukaryota; Viridiplantae; Streptophyta; Magnoliopsida; Malpighiales; Euphorbiaceae
Source: RNAcentral